UAUUGCUCUUUAACGAGGAAUCCCUAGUAAGCACAAGUCAUCAGCUUGUGCUGAUUACGUCCCUGCCCUUUGUACACACCGCCCGUCGCUACUACCGAUUGAAUGGCUUAGUGAGGCCCUCGGAUUGAGUUCGAAGACUGGAAACAGACUUUGUUUUUAAGAAGUUGGUCAAACUUGGUCAUUUAGAGGAGGUAAAAGUCGUAACAAGGUUUCCGUAGGUGAACCUGCGGAAGGAUCAUU
Molecule: ribosomal RNA, 240 nt
Filed under: uncultured fungus
Lineage: Eukaryota; Fungi
Description: partial 18S ribosomal RNA
Rfam family: Eukaryotic small subunit ribosomal RNA
Source: RNAcentral